GGGGGGGGGGGGGGGGGGGGGGGGGGGGGGGGGGGGGGGGGGGGGGGGGCUGGGUUGGUGGGGGGGGCGGGGGGCGGGGGGGUGGGUGAGAGGUGGGGAACGUGGCCUGGACGUGGGGAUGGCUUCAGGAACCUGGGGCUAAUACCGGAUAGGAGCGCCGGCUGGAUGGUGUGGGGUGGACAGUUGCGGCGGUUGGGGAUGGACUCGCGGCUUAUCAGCUUGUUGGUGGGGUAGUGGCUUACCAAGGCUUUGACGGGUAGCCGGCCUGAGAGGGUGACCGGCCACAUUGGGACUGAGAUACGGCCCAGACUCCUACGGGAGGCAGCAGUGGGGAAUAUUGCACAAUGGGCGGAAGCCUGAUGCAGCAACGCCGCGUGCGGGAUGACGGCCUUCGGGUUGUAAACCGCUUUCGCCUGUGACGAAGCGUGAGUGACGGUAAUGGGUAAAGAAGCACCGGCUAACUACGUG
This 468-nucleotide ribosomal RNA is filed under the name uncultured bacterium. RNAcentral's name for it is "partial 16S ribosomal RNA". The stretch from base 54 to 468 matches the Rfam family "Bacterial small subunit ribosomal RNA", at positions 35 to 507 of the family's 1533-position model. The record is from RNAcentral.